This 73-nucleotide transfer RNA is filed under the name Fukomys damarensis (Damara mole-rat). It matches the Rfam family "tRNA". From Rfam's summary of the family: Transfer RNA (tRNA) molecules are approximately 80 nucleotides in length. Their secondary structure includes four short double-helical elements and three loops (D, anti-codon, and T loops). Further hydrogen bonds mediate the characteristic L-shaped molecular structure. tRNAs have two regions of fundamental functional importance: the anti-codon, which is responsible for specific mRNA codon recognition, and the 3' end, to which the tRNAs corresponding amino acid is attached (by aminoacyl-tRNA synthetases). tRNAs cope with the degeneracy of the genetic code in two manners: having more than one tRNA (with a specific anti-codon) for a particular amino acid; and 'wobble' base-pairing, i.e. permitting non-standard base-pairing at the 3rd anti-codon position. The record is from Rfam by way of RNAcentral. Lineage: Eukaryota; Metazoa; Chordata; Mammalia; Rodentia; Bathyergidae.
GGGGGUGUAGCUUAGUUGUCAGAGCACUUGUCUAGCAUGCAUGAGGCCUUGAGUGCAAUUCCCAGUACAGCUA